UUUCCGUAGGUGAACCUGCGGAAGGAUCAUUCAUAAUAAGUGUUUUACGGCACUUUUUUAAAUCCAUAUCCACCUUGUGUGCAAUGUCAGGGUUGGUCUCUUUUUGAUCAGCCCCAAACAUCAACUAUUAUCUCAACUCUUUGUCUGAAAAAUAUUAUGAAUAAAACAAUUCAAAAUACAACUUUCAACAACGGAUCUCUUGGCUCUC
This 208-nucleotide unclassified non-coding RNA is filed under the name plant metagenome. RNAcentral's name for it is "partial contains small subunit ribosomal RNA, internal transcribed spacer 1, and 5.8S ribosomal RNA". The record is from RNAcentral.